AAAAUGAGAAUGGCUGAGCAGAUGGGCUUAGCACAGCUGGAUGUGUGAGGCUGAAGCUCUGCCCAUGUGGUUAGGGAGGCAGCACUGUUGGGAGAGGGCACACCUGCUUACUCUCUAAGCAGCAAACUAUUAUUAACUGUAGCUUUUAGUUUUUGCUAUUUUGGCUGUUGUAGCAUCCCCUCAUCUUUGAAUAAUCACUGUAUAACCAGCUUUUAGGACCUCAAUUGUAUCAUAACUCUAUGUGUUUCUCUCUGCAUAAUAGUGUUCACUUAACAUUUUGUUCUCGCUCUUAGCCAUAUAAAAUCUAUAAUCAUUUCAAUGAUUUAUUAUUUAAGUCAAUUUUUCUGUAGAAAAGCAUAAACCAGUGUGCAUACUCCUCAGUUCUAAGCUUUGACUAGAGCUUACGUCAUCUUUAAAUUUUGACCGCAUUAUUCAUUUUUAAGACUUCCCAUGGUCCUUUCAGCAAAAUCUUGCUGGCAUAUGCAAUACUGUCUGCGUUUGGUGGAUGAUUAUGGGACGCUGAUAUAGCUGUCUCUUGUGAGGCUAUGCCAGUGCCUGGCAAAUACAGAAGUGGAUGCUCACAGUCAUCUAUAGGAUGGAACACAUGGCCCCCAAUGGAGGAGUUAGAGAAAGUACCCAAGGAGCUGAAGGGGUCUGCAAUCGGAUAAGUGAAACAACAAUAUUAACUAAUCAGUACCCCCAGAGCUGAUGUCUCUAGCUGCAUAUGCAGCAGAAGAUGGCCAAGUCGGCCAUCAUUGGGAAGAGAGGCCUCUUGUUCUUGCAAACUUUAUAUGCCCCAGUACAGGGGGACACCAGGACCAAGAAGUGGCAGUGAGUGGCAGGGCGGUGGAGGGGGGGGAGGGUAUAGGGGACUUUUGGGAUAGCAUUUGAAAUGUAAAUGAAGAAAAUAUCUAAUAAAAAAUAAUGAGCAGCCCCAUCCCCAAAAAAAAAAAAAAGGACUUCCUUGGAUCCUGUUUAGGGCUUUUUAUUUUUAUUGAAAUACCAAAGACAAUCAUUAGUUUGCAUUUUGUCAUGUGGGGACAUUUUGCUUGUGAGGCUGCAGUAGCAAAGUACUAUGAGCUAAGAAAACAGAGAUGUGUCCUGUCUCCUAAGAACUAGAGCUGGUGGAGGACCCCCAAGGCUGAGUGUGUUUCCUGCUGUGGGCUUUCCCUUCUGAUGAGCCAAGCUUUGAAGAUGCAACACUUGUGUUCUUUACCCCUCCCUCUACCUGGUUAGCCUCCCUCAGCUAUCUUCCUAAGGACUCACAUCAUCUUCCCUAAGGUGUAAAAAGAGAGCUCAUUGGCUGUAUAGGUGAUACACAUUCAUGAUUAAAUGCUGCAGGUAAAAAUGUCAUUAUUUUAUGUUGAGGGCGUUUGAUUUGCUUUGUUACUCCUUUCUCUGCAAAUCAGUAAUGAUGUGAAAGGCUUUACCAGUGUUUCUGGCCAUCUUGAACACAGAUUUCUCUACUGAUUUUUCCACGUUGAAAUAUUAGGUGCCUAUACUAAACUUAGGUGGUUAACGGAGUGAUACACUUCUAGUAUGAAGAUAUAUAGCUUUGAAAGGAAAGUUUUCACUAAUGUUCUUUUCGGGUUAUUGUUCAAAUGAAGCGAGAUGCACACACACACACACACACACACACACACACAUAUAUAUAUAUAUAUAUAUUUCUUUUGAUGAACUCAACAUUUUGUGGUUAGGCUGGUUAAUCAUGCAGUCAUUGUUGAGUUCUUCCUUUCAUACCUUUGCUUUACAGAGGAGGCUGUAAAUAAUAUUCCCAGUACAAUUGAGAAAUUAUAUCCCUGCCACGAUUUCAAAGACAUCGAUUUCUUAACAGAAACCUGACUUCAAUUUAGGAUUUAGUUUUUCAAUGAUUAAUGGACUGGUUUAAGGAUAAUCUGGGAAAUAAAGAUUGAGCACCUCUUUUCCCUAACACUCUGCCGUAUUUCUCUGCUCUUGUAUUUUGUUGUUCUUUUGGACAACUCUCCAGGAUUUAUUUUCACAGAAUUGUCUGUCCUUGGUGCACCCCUUUAAAGGUAUGAUCACUCAUCGGUCAGCAGUUUAUCUUGAUUCCAUAGAAUGAUGAAAAUCCAUCCUAUAGAGAUGUUACAGUUUCAUAAGUGAGAAUGUUUUUAUCCCAUUCUCCAAAAAGUUUGCCUUUGUUGUACUCAGCAACUGAGAGCACCAAAGUUAGUUACAUCUCUAUGAAACCUCAUAUUUUAAAAAGUACUGUUGGGGCACUAACAGGUAAAAUGGAAUAAACAGUAAGGUCAUUACACACGUGAUGGCUUGUCUUCAUGUAUGUUCUUAGUAGACUGUGAAGAUAGUCAACUACUCUGAAGUAUGUUUCCCAUUUUGUAUAAGCAGAAUUUGAAAAGUAAAAUCAAGAUGCAAGUACAAGAGCACUUGUCAAGUCAUGCCUGUGCUUCAUGCUGUUAAUACCAGCACCUAGUAUAGCAGAAUGGAGCUAUUGUAAGCACAGGACAAACAUAUAAACAAACCAAACACAAUAAAUAAAAAUCCC
RNAcentral lists this long non-coding RNA (2521 nucleotides) under Mus musculus (house mouse). RNAcentral's name for it is "long non-coding RNA chr14:117337413-117339934". Lineage: Eukaryota; Metazoa; Chordata; Mammalia; Rodentia; Muridae. The record is from RNAcentral.